CAGAGUUAUCACAACUCCCAAACCCAUGUGAACCUUUACCAUUUGUUGCCUCGGCGGUGCCCGCCCCCCGUUCACUCGGGGAGGCGCGGCCCGCCGGCGGACCAAAACAACUCUUUGCUGUAUCGUGGCACUCUGAGUAUACAAAAACAUAAUAGUUA
This 158-nucleotide unclassified non-coding RNA is filed under the name uncultured Sordariomycetes. RNAcentral's name for it is "sequence contains ITS1". The record is from RNAcentral. Lineage: Eukaryota; Fungi; Ascomycota; Sordariomycetes.